RNAcentral lists this ribosomal RNA (440 nucleotides) under uncultured bacterium. RNAcentral describes it as "partial 16S ribosomal RNA". It matches the Rfam family "Bacterial small subunit ribosomal RNA", at positions 338 to 795 of the family's 1533-position model. The record is from RNAcentral.
CCUACGGGAGGCAGCAGUGGGGAAUAUUGCACAAUGGGGGAAACCCUGAUGCAGCGACGCCGCGUGAGUGAGGAAGUAUUUCGGUAUGUUAAGCCUUAUCAGCAGGGAAGAAAAUGACGGCACCUGACUAAGAAGCCCCGGCUAACUACGUGCCAGCAGCCGCGGUAAUACGUCGGGGGCAAGCGUUAUCCGGAUUUACUGGGUGUAAAGGGAGCGUAGGCGGUUAAUCAAGUCAGAAGUGAAAACCCAGGGCUCAAACUUGGGACUGCUUUUGAAACUGAGUAUCUAGAGUGCAGGAGAAGUAAGCGGAAUGCCUGGUGUAGCGGUGAAAUGCGUAGAUAUUAGGAAGAACACCAGUGGCGAAGGCAGCUUACUGGACUGUAACUGACGUUGAGGCUCGAAAGCGUGGGGAGCGAACAGGAUUAGAUACCCCUGUAGUC